CGGUGACCGAGUGACAGGUGCUGCAUGGCUGUCGUCAGCUCGUGUCGUGAGAUGUUCGGUUAAGUCCGGCAACGAGCGCAACCCACAUCUUCAGUUGCCAGCAGUUCGGCUGGGCACUCUGGAGAAACUGCCCGUGAUAAGCGGGAGGAAGGUGUGGAUGACGUCAAGUCCUCAUGGCCCUUACGGGUUGGGCUACACACGUGCUACAAUGGCAGUGACAAUGGGUUAAUCCCAAAAAACUGUCUCAGUUCGGAUUGGGGUCUGCAACUCGACCCCAUGAAGUCGGAAUCGCUAGUAAUCGCGUAACAGCAUGACGCGGUGAAUACGUUCCCGGGCCUUGUACACACCGC
This 350-nucleotide ribosomal RNA is filed under the name Rhodobacter sp. h6. RNAcentral's name for it is "bacterial SSU rRNA". It matches the Rfam family "Bacterial small subunit ribosomal RNA", at positions 1021 to 1393 of the family's 1533-position model. The record is from RNAcentral. Lineage: Bacteria; Pseudomonadati; Pseudomonadota; Alphaproteobacteria; Rhodobacterales.